AACGAACGCUGGCGGCAUGCCUAACACAUGCAAGUCGAACGAGACCUUCGGGUCUAGUGGCGCACGGGUGCGUAACGCGUGGGAACCUGCCCUUAGGUUCGGAAUAACUCCCCGAAAGGGGUGCUAAUACCGGAUAAUGUCUUCGGACCAAAGAUUUAUCGCCUUUGGAUGGGCCCGCGUUGGAUUAGCUAGUUGGUAGGGUAAAAGCCUACCAAGGCGACGAUCCAUAGCUGGUCUGAGAGGAUGAUCAGCCACACUGGGACUGAGACACGGCCCAGACUCCUACGGGAAGCAGCAGUGGGGAAUAUUGGACAAUGGGCGAAAGCCUGAUCCAGCAAUGCCGCGUGAGUGAUGAAGGCCUUAGGGUUGUAAAGCUCUUUUACACGAGAUGAUAAUGACAGUACCGGGAGAAUAAGCUCCGGCUAACUCCGUG
This 433-nucleotide ribosomal RNA is filed under the name uncultured bacterium. RNAcentral's name for it is "partial 16S ribosomal RNA". It matches the Rfam family "Bacterial small subunit ribosomal RNA", at positions 29 to 507 of the family's 1533-position model. The record is from RNAcentral.